Molecule: small nucleolar RNA, 99 nt
Organism: Neoarius graeffei (lesser salmon catfish)
Lineage: Eukaryota; Metazoa; Chordata; Actinopteri; Siluriformes; Ariidae
Source: RefSeq, a predicted model, not a curated record
UCCCUAUGAUGAGUUUGCCAUGCUAAUACCGACACGCCAAACUGACUGUGCGUAAAUGAGUUCAGCUCAACUUCUCACACUCGGUGUGCUCUGAAGGGA